UACGUAGGGGGGCUAGCGUUGUCCGGAAUCAUUGGGCGUAAAGCGCGCGUAGGUUGGUCAUGUAAGUCCGCUGUGAAAGUCAAAGGCUCAACCUUUGAAAGCCGGUGGAUACUGCAUGACUAGAGUACGGAAGAGGCGAGUGGAAUUCCUGGUGUAGCGGUGGAAUGCGCAGAUAUCAGGAGGAACACCAAUAGCGAAGGCAGCUCGCUGGGACGUUACUGACACUGAGGCGCGAAAGCGUGGGGAGCGAACAGG
RNAcentral lists this ribosomal RNA (255 nucleotides) under uncultured bacterium. RNAcentral describes it as "partial 16S ribosomal RNA". It matches the Rfam family "Bacterial small subunit ribosomal RNA", at positions 524 to 776 of the family's 1533-position model. The record is from RNAcentral.